CUAGGGAGCAGGAAUUGCGCCGUAGAGUUACUCCGUCCUUGAAGCAAGGGGUCAGCCUCUGGUACCUUAGUGCUAGUCAACCUUUGUUGGAGGGAAGUUUUUCAAGGAAGUGGUAGCUGUGACACACUGUCAACUCUCAAAGUAGCUGGGAGAGCGGUGCGCCAGCAGCAUUUGGGACCUAAACAAUUGAAGAAAUUGUAGAGAAGUUUGUUAUGAGAACAGCAGGAAUGUACCAUAGAUUUACAGCAGACAAAAAGGUAUCUAAGAAUUACAUUGGGAAGAGUUCAGUUGACAUCCUCUGGCACUAACCAACUGCCCAGUUGCUCUUGGACAGGACAUGUGAAAACAGGUGAGUUUUUCCUGUGGAUUGUAUUCAGUUACUUUUUUUUGUGCUUGGAGUCAACUAUUGUUCUUUGAAUAACACUAUAUGUUUAAUUUGCUAACUAAAAUAGUUUUAUAUGU
Long non-coding RNA from Microcebus murinus (gray mouse lemur), 462 nucleotides. RefSeq lists it as uncharacterized. NCBI's taxonomy places the organism in Eukaryota, Metazoa, Chordata, Mammalia, Primates, Cheirogaleidae. The record is from RefSeq and is a predicted model, not a curated record.